RNAcentral lists this ribosomal RNA (572 nucleotides) under uncultured bacterium. Its description in RNAcentral is "bacterial SSU rRNA". It matches the Rfam family "Bacterial small subunit ribosomal RNA", at positions 59 to 678 of the family's 1533-position model. The record is from RNAcentral.
AAGUCGAACGCUUCAGCAAUGAAGAGUGGCAGACGGGUGAGUAACGCGUGGGAACCUUCCCAGUGGUACGGAAUAGCCCAGGAAACUUGGGGUAAUACCGUAUAAGCCCUUAGGAGGAAAGAUUUAUCGCCAUUGGAUGGGCCCGCGUCGGAUUAGCUUGUUGGUGAGGUAAAAGCUCACCAAGGCGACGAUCCGUAGCUGGUCUGAGAGGAUGAUCAGCCACACUGGGACUGAGACACGGCCCAGACUCCUACGGGAGGCAGCAGUGGGGAAUAUUGGACAAUGGGCGCAAGCCUGAUCCAGCCAUGCCGCGUGAGUGACGAAGGCCUUAGGGUUGUAAAACUCUUUUGGCGGGGACGAUAAUGACGGUACCCGCAGAAUAAGCUCCGGCUAACUUCGUGCCAGCAGCCGCGGUAAUACGAAGGGAGCUAGCGUUGUUCGGAAUUACUGGGCGUAAAGCGCACGUAGGCGGAUUUGUUAGUCAGGGGUGAAAUCCCGGGGCCCAACCUCGGAACUGCCUUUGAUACUGCAAGUCUGGAGUCCGGAAGAGGUGGGUGGAAUUCCUAGUGUAG